This is a long non-coding RNA of Cygnus olor (mute swan), 19923 nucleotides long. RefSeq lists it as uncharacterized. The record is from RefSeq and is a predicted model, not a curated record. Lineage: Eukaryota; Metazoa; Chordata; Aves; Anseriformes; Anatidae. The transcript is spliced from 2 exons.
CGCGCCCCGCCGGGCUCUGAGGGGGAACCGCCUGUGAGGGCCGCCUCAGGGCGCCACGUCACCCCCAGCAAGGGGGAACGGCGGGUGUUGUGUUCUGUGUUCUCUUCGUUCACCAACAGCACAUUUUCAGGAGCAUCAGUUCAUCCCACCUGAAAUGAGAAGGAAGCACUUAAUGUUUAUUCAUUGAUUCUGGUAGAACUUUGUGCUUUUCAAGCAGAAAAUAUAAGAUACUCCCAAUCAACUGAAUCAUCAAUCCAUGGGAGAAGAGCUGAUGAGAUAAAAAAUACUAAUCAAUCAUAUCUGGUAGUAGCAUAUUAAUGGAGGUGGAAUUUAUUUUCUCCCAUAAAGCAUUCCUGGUUAACCCCAUCAUGCUGUCUCCUUAGUGGUGUCAUGCUUGUAAAGCACGGAUGAGGAGCUCUCAUCCAGUCCAGUGCACAAUCACUAUCCUCAAAACAAGUCUCAUGAAACAGCUCCGACUGCUAAACAUGCAAUCUGCCUGACAAACAACAAGGAAAUAAAUUAAAGGAUGAUCAAUAUAGCACUUCAUACCCUCUAGGCAAAUGCAUGCAAGUGCACAGGUUUUCCAUCUACAUAUGUCUCAGAGUCCUAUCACUACCAGAAUUUUGAUCUGCUUUAAUCCCUCUACAUGCAACUGUCACUGGAAUUCAGCAAACACUGAGUGUUUUUACCUGAAGAUCAUAAUUGGCUGUUCUGCAAGAAAUCAAUCUCAUGAAAGCAUGGAAAAAAGGAGUUAGAAGUGAUGGGAGAAAUCUCUUUGAGUUAAGGUGAUGAGGCAUGGUCUCAUGCUCUGUCCCCUCUCAGUAUGUAUGUGCAUCUUGGAUGCCACAUGACUUGUUCCCAAUGAAGAUGAUGUAUCUGGAGAAGCAGGAACUCAGCAAAACUCAAGUUGUUGCUCCAGGCAGUUGUGAUGCCAGAUGCCUGAAAUGAAAACAGGGAGACUGUCCUUCCUGUCUUCCGAUUGUGCUCCCUCUGCUCGUGUUCAAACAGAAAGUAUUUGGGUAUGAACAGUAAAAAAAACUAUGUGCAAACCAGAUCAACAAUCUUGGUCCCAAGUCCCAGCAAGCCUGUAAGACAUGGAUCAUUUACUUGGCACAUUCAGUGAGACUGAUAGGUACAAACUCUGAAAAAAGUAUCUUCAGCUCUUUGUAGUACAUCAGCCUCAUGUCAGUGAGCAUCUACAGUGUUGUGACAAGAAAAAUGUGCCAAAUAGUACCUCAGAUGACAGCAUGGACAUGUGGUAUUGAUCCACCACUUCUUUUCUAAGUCUUUUACCAUCUUUGCCCAGCUCUUUAUGAGAAGAUAACAAGAAAGAGUCAUAAAGGACCGCAUAUGGAUGUGGGGACUCCAACCUGCAUAAAGGUAGGGAACUGGAAAGUAGGCGACAAGACCAAAGUUAGAAAGGUGAGGGGAAGCUGUGGGAUGCUGUCCUUGAAGUGAGCAGCUGAGAGCUACAGGGUCUAUACAAAGAUGGAUGUUUGUAGCAACAAAUGUAUAUUGAGAGCUAGGAGUUACAGGCAAUUGAUACAGGAUUCAAAAUGAUCCAAUAAUAAUCUAUGAACAACAGUUAUGGAGAAACAAAAAUGUUUAAAGUACUUGACAAAACUUGCAGAAACUUGGUGGAAAAAGAAGCUUUCCAAUGGUUUGAGUCUGUUACUAGAUGGAAAAAUAGAAAUGCUAACAAUAACAUAGGAAGGCAGAAGAGCUCAAUAAAUAUUUCUGGUCUGUAUUUGGGGAAGAGCCAGAUGAUACACAAAUAUCGUAUGAUGAUGAUGAAAUACAUUCCAUUACAACAGGCACCGAGGGGGAUGUUAAACAGAAGCUAAUAAGGCUGUGCAUCAGCAGGUAUAGAUAACUUUCAUCCAAAAGUUUUAAAAGCACUGGCAGGGAGUAUCUUUAGACCAUUAAUGUUGAUUUUCAAUAAAUCUUGGAACGCUGUUCAAGUUCCAGAGCACUGGAUGAAAUAUUGUACCGAUAUUUUAAAAGGGUAAACAAGGUGACAAGGGUAAUUUCAACUUGCCAGCCUGGCAAGAAUUCUGGGUAACAUAAUGGGUCAUUAGCUACAUUACUUGAUUAAAAAAGAAUUAAAGGAUGGAAACAAAAUAAAUGCAAAUUAAUGUGGAAAAUAAGUCUUGCCAAAAUAAAUUGAUUUUUUUAAUGGCAUUACAAGUUUGGUGGAUCAAGGUAAGUAGGUCUGUAAAAUACUUGUUUUGGUAACUUGCAACAGUUUAAUUAAGAAACCAGAACGGUAGAGACUCAUCACAGCAUGUAUUAAACUGUUCAAACUCUGGCUAACUGGCAGUUACAAAGUGGGGAAAUAAGAAGUCAUCAUCAAAGAAUGCAUUUCUGUGUCAUACAGUGAUUAGUUCUGUACUAUACUGUAUGGAUAGUAAUGGCUUUAAGGAAAGAAUAAAAUCAUCACUUACAAAGUUUGCAAGUGAUGUAAACAACAAGGAUUAACAAAUAACAAGUCACAACGGAAAGUAUCUGAGACAGCUUGAUAACAAGUAAUAUGCAUUUCUAUACAGCCAGAUGUAAAAACAUGCACCAAAGAAUAGAGACCAUGAUUAUAGGAUGGGGGAAUUUGUGCUGUAACAAGUUAAUGCUCAAAAACCUAGAGUGUCAUCACAUAUAAUCAGAAGCAAAUGAGCAGGUGGUGCAGUGCUGUGGGCCAACAGGCUAAUACAACCCUUGGCUUUAUAAAUAGGAGAAUAUAGAAUAACGUCUUUAUUUUUUCUGGCACUAGUCCAACUACUCCCGAAAUCUGAGAGCCAAAUCCCUUAAUUCUUUAACCGAAGCUGAAAAUUAAAUUGUUCGGAGAAGACCAAUAAGAAUGAUUUAGAUGAAAACUGAAAACAUUCAAUCUACUUCCACGUGUAAAAAGAAGGUGAAGGGUGACUCAAUCACAGGUUUGAAGUACUUCCAAAAUUCAGUGACUAUGCUAAAGGCAGACUUAUUCAGCUUCCCAGUAAGGUCUUUUACCAGUGAAGGCAAUUAAUUACGGAAAUGCUUUAGAGAGGAACAAGUUAAAUUUCCCAGCGCUGGGACUGUCAAAAUCAAAACAAGGUGCUUUUAAAAACUAUUUUUAACACAUACAGGAGUUCAGUCCUAUAAGUCUGCUACCCAUGAGACACAAUGAGUUGAUCACAGCUGUAGAUUCUGGUUGCUUGUCUAUGCAGAAGUUGAUUUCCUUGGGGCACUAAGAAGCAGCAACCUGUCAUCCCCUUCAGCAUCAUCUGACACAGAUCAUGUGUCCCUGAGCACAUGACGGGCGCAGCCAUGUGGAUGCUAAUGUUUACAUGGGUAGAAGGGAUGAGUGUGCUUGUUCACAGAAGGCAAAUCCUUUGAAGUGUAUUGCAUAAAAAUGUAACAGUUCUCACUCGAGAAGCCUGAGACAUACACUGCUGGAAGCUGGGAACUCCUCAGAAUUGUCACUAACUAUAUGAUUAUCCUGCUACUCAGUUCUUUAUCUGGCAUCUGCCUCUGGCUGCUCUCACAAGCAGGAUACUGAUCUUUCUCAUGCCAAGCUGUCUCUCUGGUCUAUGGGAAAGCUGACUCGCCCCUGAUCUCUGAACGGAGCAGGAGUUUUGGUGGGAGCAGAGAGUAGAUGCAUGAUGAUAAGUUGGCAUAGGUGCAGGAGAGGACAAGAGCCAAGGGAGAGAAGAACAGGAACACUUGCUACUAGAAAGUCAAAGACAGACUUGGGGAAGGGAGUGUGGAUGAGGCUCAGAACCUUUCCAGAAUUUGACAUGGAUUCAGGAAGCUCCUGGACUGAACUUGUAUCAUCAAACGAUCAGGAAACCUCACAGCAAAAUGUUGAUUACUUUCCCAGUGUAGUUACCGAUCCACAUACUCAGCCUCUGACUGAUACAUGUGGUAAGUGGGGAAGGCCUGUGCUGUGAACCUAAGGGUCCAAACUUCUUGGAUGACUGAUGGUUUUAUUCAGUUUUGUGGAAUAAUAGAUUUUUUUUCCCCGUGCAGUUGCUGGUAACUGCUUGCAUAUCACUCUCUGACAGAAACAAUACUGUAAAUAUUCAUUACGACGACCACUGCUAACGGCGUGUUUAAUGAUCUCUUUUCUAAUUUCUACUGUAAAAACCAUCUCCUGAUUACAACCAUCCAAAGACACCAAGAGACCUUCAGUGAAGAUUACAAUGUAAUGAUUUUGCCCUCUAGUGGCUGAAUGACAUAGCCCAGCUCCUUUGGAGUCUGUCUUAAUACACCUUUAUUACAUCACCAGCCUUGAAUCUUUAAUUUUCUAAACUUUAUGCAGGGUUCACCCAUUACACUCAAGUACUACCUGCACCAGAACAAUCCGAAUCAAUAAAAAUGCUUGGCUAAACAUCCUCAGAAGGCUAUAUUAAGGUUAACUCAGUACUUAGUGAGUCAUGCAAUAAAGCCACUAAUACCCGGGCACUUAAUUAACCUGUGAUGCAUUUUCCACCAGAUGUGAUUUAAUCUCUAUAAAACAAAAAGACCUGCUAUAUCACCAUCUCAGUGUGUGUGUCAAUUUAGAGUCAUUCUAUCCUUAUUUCGUCUGGUUUAAAUUUUAAAAAUGUCAUGUAUUCUUUGGAGAAAUAAAGAUGACAUUUUAACCCUUUCCAAAAGUACACUCUCAUAGGUUAUACAUUUAAAAGGGAACAUAACUGGUUUACUAGUUAUGCUGGCUACAUCUUGAAACAUCCAUCAAUUUUCUCUCCGUAUUUCUGACACUGGCCCUGAGGCUUUAAAAGAUCUGUCUCUGUAUCUGUGUUAAACUUCUGUGAGAGCUUAAGCAAGGGUUUUGGACUUUAAUUACAUCUUGAUUUUUUUUUCUUUUCUCCCCCUCUGGCACCCAUUUUAGUUUAUUAGCCUAAGCUUCAUAAGGAAACAACACAUUUAAUUAAAUUGUUUGUCUUUCUCUUUUGCUCUCUCUGCAUAUCUUUAGGAUCUCUUGGCCAAUUUCUGCCUCAGCUGAAAAAGUGAUAAGUCUCAAAGGAAAUUAAGUUCAUACAAGUUUUGUGGCAAUCCAGUCAGGCAUAGAGAGGGUGAGCCGAAGCAAGUUGAGCUGUUACAUAUUCAGUGUGGCAGCAGCCAGCUUGUUAACAGCCAGCCUGUGCUCAGGCUGCUCAGACAGCACACACACCCCACCACGUUACUUACUCCCAGCGUAUGCUGGCGUGGCCUCGGAGUGUCACAUUGAAUUUGGAGGAAACUGAGGUCGUUGUGGUAGAGAGGAUCAUCAUGGACGUGGCAGGGCUAGUGUUAGUGCACAGAAGAGAUGAGAGAGUGAAGACACAAAUCCCUGUGCAAACAGGAUUUAUUUUUCUAGCAUUCACAACAACAGCUUCUUGAAGGUUAUUAUUUGGACUCUGUAAUUGAGAUUGAGAUGUGAUACUUGGAUUAUUUGAAAGCCUCUGCUAAGCAAGAAGUCAAAUUAAAGGAUUUAGUAGACCCUUUUAAUGAGGAAACAAUAAAUAUUUGGAUCAUUUCAUUCUCAUUGUUUAUUUUGCUAUUCAUCUGUAUUUGGAAGCCCUGGAAAAGCUUAAGAAGCUUUCUGAUUACAUUCUGGUCUGGCCAGAAGCUGGAAAUGCCUUUAAUGAAUACCCAUGGGGUUUGGGUAUUCAUGAAUGUGUUCCAAAUGAACAUGUUUGUGCUCACUAACAACAAAAAAAGCCAGGAUUUUGAAUCGGGAGAAACAGGUUCUUGUUCAACUUUGUAGCUGACUUGCUGAGUGACAGUUAACCCAUCUGAUCCUCUUCCCUUGUGUGUACAGUAGAACUAGUUGUAUGUACAGCAUGAGUAAGUGAUGUAUGAGGCCACAUCAAGGUCUGUAAAACCGCUUUGAGAGUCUCCUAUGAGAAGUGUUAUGAUGAUGAUUACAUGAAAAAAUUUCAUUUGGAAGAUAUGAUGUCAUCGCCUAAAUAUGUGCUUUCUGGUCCACCGAAACAAAGGACUCUUGAAAUUCAAAAAUGGACAGAGUUCUAAAGAUUAACUUCAUCUUCCUAAAAUGCUGAGAAACAUGCAUUUCCCAUUUGAAGAUCUGAAAACACUUUACUUAGAGUUGAAACCUGUUCGUUCCCUCAGACAACCUGUUCUGUAUCACUCAAAAAAUACAUUUAAGAUUUUGGACUAGAAUCAUAAACUCCUGAUUUUACUUCAUAUCCCAUCUACCUCAACUAUAGCAUUAUUUAAUUUCCGCAAUUAUAUAAAGUCUUCCAUCUUUCAAAGAUGAUAGUACUCCAGGAAUAAUGUUGGAGCUGUGCCAGAGGAUGGUGGAAAGUAGGAGAAUUGAGACUCUCAUUAUUUGGACAGAGGUUAUAAUUCAUGCCUGGUUGGUCUAAAAAUUGCCUUAAUCGUGGGAUAUUGAUGGAGGAUGAACCAGUGUAUCUCUCAGCUUCUAGAAGGAACUUUCUGAGUUGUUGAUAGACUACUCUAAAAAGCCAUAUACACUUUUCCAUACAUGCAACAAACAUACCAUGCUUCAUGGCCAACAGGAAGCACAGCAGUGAAGAGCAGGUGAUUUUUUAACGUAGAAUCUCCAAAACUGGACCAGCUUACAAGCUCCUAAAGUAGGUCUACAUGAAAACAGUCUCAGGUGUUUGUGUGGGCUUCAGUGAAUGUAGUCUGGGCUCGACACACUCACUCGGAGAUGCAAGGCUUACUCAGUAUGCUAGCUGAGGACAAACUACAUCAGACGCUUCAGAAAGGAAUUCCACCAGCAGAACAGUAGCACAGAGGAUGUUUUGUGGAGGACCUUUGAAUGAUUGUUUUUGUGAACAGAAACCCGGUCCCUCAAAUGUCAACACUUCAGAUGCAAGGAAAAUUCUAAGGACAACGCAGUUUUAGAAAAAAAAAAAACAGUUUGAAAUUGACUCAAUUUUAAUUACAUACAGCUACAGAAUAAAAAUAUUUCAAAGUGAAAAAUCCCAAACUGAAAAAAUAGCCAUUAAGAAUGUUGACUUGACAUCUUUUGACAUGAAUCUUUCCUUUUGUUUCUUCCAACAUAGCUAUAGACUCUGACCAAAAAAGUCAUGUCUUUUUCUUACAAGUUUGAUAUACAAAUUAAAUAAUUCAUUGUUGUACUUAUCAAAUAUGAAUGGACACGUUUUAUUCAGAAAAAGAUCUAAUCCUUUUCAAAUCUUGUUUUCACCUGUGUGAUAGCUUGUAGCGGUGAGUACCAUGCACUAAUUGUGGUACUUUGAAAGUAUUUUCUUUCAUCAACUCUACAUGCUCUAUCGGGCAAUUUAAGUUAAUGCCCAUAGUUCUCAUACGGGAGCAAUCAAUUUUACUUUUUCGACAUAAUCCUCUUUUCUGUUUAUUUCCAAAAUGUUCCUUCUGAUAACUCUUUGUUUCUGCAAAAAUCUCUUCAAAUCACAAGUUUUCCUGCAUCUUUAUAUAACGUUUAUAACAUUUUCAGCUUCUAGAUCCUCAGCUGUAUCCUUACUGACAAGCUAAAGGCUAUGGCCAGAGCUAAGCAUGCAGCUACAUAUUUUGAUCAGUUUUGUUUGAUUUUUUUGCUUGAAGGAUGCAAGUUAUCAAAAGUAUAAACCUUGAUAUAGAUUUUUUUUUCUUUCAAAGUUUACGAACAGGAUUUAAUCUAAUAGGUACUUAUGAAUUUAUCCUUUAGGUCUUUCUGGAUUCAAAUGAAGAGCUGGGUUUUCUUUAGAAAGGAAAAGAACAGAAGCUUACUUGAGAGGAAGUGGUAGAUGCAGUUGGCUCAUUGUUAUCUUAAGCAUUUCCCUUCUUUGUUGUACUAGAGAUAAAUGAAUAGCUGCUAUGCACGGACAUGCAUGACCCUCAAGUUCUGGCUCAUGAUUUCUUGUUAUUAAAUAUUUGAAGGCAUGACUUGAAGACAAACUCCAGCAAAAGGGAUUUAAUUUUUGAAGGAAUCUGGCAGACACUUUUGCAACAUUGUCUUGCAUAAUUUGCUGUUGGCAUGUUUGUAUCUUCCACCAUACUUCUCCUUAUCGCCAGAUUCAUGACAGAGGGUGCAGUGGGCAUCAGAACCACCAUCCUUUAUGCAUUUUUUAAGCUAAGUCUUUUAAAGAAGAAAAGCUUGCACAACUGUGCUGCAGACGCAGGUACAUCUUCUUCUCCCCUUGAACAAUUUAGGAAUAUGUCGCUCAAUUUCAGCCAUGCUUGAAAGAGGCAACUGGUGACUGCUGUAGGAGAAAGUCACAAAUGACUGCCCCUGCUGAGGGCACAGCAGAGAAAAGGCAGCUACUACACAUUCCUUUAGCAGCAAGGGGCUUGUUAGUCAGCAGCGUGUAGGUCUAGACUCCUUCAGAAGGUUAAUUCUCCCCUUUCAGAACUGCCAUGGGAAUACGGUGCCCAUAACUCAGGGAAGAGGCAUGAUGGAAGGCAGGUAGUGAAGGAGAUAGUUAAAAAACAUGGACUCCUCCUGUCCAUCAUUAGUUCUUUGAGCAGCGAAACUGUUCACACGCACAAAAAUUUGUAUAAGUACACCCUAAAGUAUUCAAGACAUUAAUGAAAAUCCAAAGCAUCUUGUUCAUUUCAAUUGCUUCUCCACCCACAUUCUUCAUUGAAUUAAAGGAUAUCCUACACGCGCUUUUGUUUCACUUAUUCCCUAAAGAUCAUUUCAUCACACACCAAGCAAGGAUCUUCAGCGUACUCAUAGUAACUUCACAGUCAGAGCGUUCAGCACUAUGAUGUUCCUGGCACAAGGGAUGUUAUUAAAGGAUUUAAGAGAUGAAUAAGACUGCAGAUUUCCCCAGGGCAAGACAUCAGAAAAUGGACAUCAAAAGAACCUGGCUCAAAAUGCAGCGGGCAUUACCAGCUUGUGGCAAAUCCCACUCAUCUCUGAACAGUAAUGUUGUCAGGCUGCGCUAGGGAUGUGUCUAUCCCAGAAUACCCCUGUAGAACUGUUUGCUUACCCAGUAAAAGCACUCCUGUUCAAUACCAGCCCCUCUAGUUCAAGCCAGCAUAAUCUUCAUUAAUCAAAAAUACACUGGGCCAAAUCCAGCUACAAUCAUAGGCAAACCUUCAGCAAUAUCCCAGAGCAAACAUGACACAGGCUAUACAGCCAUCAAAAUUACCUUUCUUUUCUCCAGUCAUAAACCCAGUCGGACUGCACAAAGAACCAUGCAGAUCUCCGAACAUGUGAGUAUUUCUUACAGGAAGUGUAGUUUGUCACACAUUGCAUGUCAUCUUCACAGACCCCAACAGGAUGACAGGCUCGUGACAGGAUUUUUUUUAAACUUCUAUUUCCUCUUUCACCAAGAUCUCAUUAGGAUUGAUUUUCUUACAGCUAUUUUGAACCAUGAACAACAAUUCUUGAGUAGACACUGGGGAAGGAGAAGCACACAUGAUGUCACCACCUGAAUUAUUAUGCUAGGACAUAAAAAUAGUUUGAAAAGUAGCAUGACCAAAAUUACCAUAUCGUUUAAUUACAGCCUACUUUCAUGACAGGCCGUCAGAUAAUUAACAGUGUCAAAAUGCUGAAUUGCCUCCAGCUUCUACAUGCUUUGCAAAUGACAUGGAAGUCAUCUUUUUAAAUAGCAACAGCUUAACUGAAAAUGUAAAACCUAUAGUGAAAUACUUUGAAAAAUGAAGCAGUCAGCUGAACUGACAUGAAAUUCCCCGCACCAUAAAUUCACUAGGGAAGACAGUUAAAAUCCACUUAAUUUUCUUUCUGAAGAUCACAUUCACAUGAGGAUAUUUUUGCGUUAGGAACUAUUUUUCUGAAAUUGAUAUCUUUUUAAGAGUUCUAAAAAAAGGAGACAUAAGUGACUGUUCUGUCCAGCUAUGCACAUGGCCUGGUUCCAGCACUGGCACCUUCCCUCCAGCCUGCCACAAUACAGGCAAGCAUAAAGCAGAGAAAGGCUGAAAAAGGUGGGGUUUUGUUGAUGUUUAGGGUUUUUUUUUCAGAUAUAACUCACCUUCCCUGAUUGCUAAGUAACACAUAUGAUACUAGAGAAAACUCUCUGUAGAGAGAGGGAAGGAUAUUUGAAUAAACUUGGGAAGCGAUACACAAUUAUGUUAUCCAUUUAUUAUUAGAAAUUAACAUAGAAUAAAACAGUGGUCCCCAAUCAUUUUGUGGAAAAGGGCCUCUGGCCACAGGAGACAACUGGCCUUCCUGGCCUCCACUUACCCUCCGUAAACUCUCAGCCAGUACCAGGAAUACCUGUGAGAGGUGAGAGCAGAGCCCAAGCAUACAGACUCCAGAAGCACGGAGUACAAAGAGCACCCCUCCUCGUCCCUUGGACAAAAACAGGGAUGGGGAAGGCAGUAACAGAAAUUCUCUUCCCUUGAAGCACACCUCAGAUGGCAUAAUCCCCCCAUGCAGCAAUGUCAGUUCAGCAUCACCAUAGGCAUUUAGUUAUUUUGCAGAUCCCCUUUUCUUUUCCCUCCAUCAUCAUCACUGCAGCAUGCAGGCCUACCUCCCUGUUUCAUAUUGCCUUUUGCACUCCUUGAAAGCUGCUUUCUUCCCCGUGCCACUGCUCCCCACACCUCUAUACAGCAAUCUCAUAAUUGGCACCAAAUUCCUUACUCCCUUUAUUGGACAGAGUUAAAAUAAAUGUUUUUUAUAAAAAUGAUACAAAAUAAGCUUUGCAUAAAUUGUAGCAAAGCAAAACAAUAGUGCUAACUGCACUGGAUAGACAACUCAUGCCUGAACUAGCCAUCAAAAGAUAAGAAUGGUGCCCAAAUACAGAAUUAAGCUCUCCUUUGAAGGGUAAGAAAGAGACAAAACAUCUUGAAACUGAAGCGAAAACAGUGCAGCUUCUCUCCUUCAUUCUUUCUUUUGUAAGAAGAUGAUUCCUUUGUUGAAGAGCCAGAAAGAAAAGUUUUGACUUGUUUCCCCAAAGGAAAGUGAGUGCUUAACAUUGAGAAAACUGAUGAGCAAACAUCCCCUCCCAUAGCUUGCAAAAAGCUGAACACCUUAGUAAUAAUGAAGAGAAUCCUAUCUCUUGGAUGAAUAAAGGAAUCAAGCUAACACUAAGCCAGAAUUUUAUGUCAUAUGGUAACAAGGGAACGUACAUGUCAAGUAGAGUGCUUGAAUAAUAAAGGAUAAGGCUACUAGAAAGCAAUCCGAGAAUACAGGAGAAACUGCGGUGGGUGGAUUCAUAGCUUCAUGAUUGUGGCACUGUCCAGGUGAUUAACAAAUUGGAGGGUAGAAAAUAUGACUGGAUUGAACUUCAAGAUAACUCAGGUGUGGGACCAAGGGGAGUUCCUUCGGCUUGUAAUUUAUGCAAUAGGCAAAGGGCUUCAAAUACUAGAAAGCAAUGAGUGAGCUUCUUAAGCUGAGUUCAAAGUGGUCUCCAUAACUGAAGUCUUUGAUCAAGAAAUUUGGUAAAAAUGCCAUUUAGCAUGGCAGGCUGUUAAAAUUAAAGCUGACCAGUAAACAAGAAUGAUUCACCUGGCCAGGAUGAAAAACACCUCAAAGCAAUUUUCACAAAAUGGGGACUGUUCAACAACUCUCUCUCUGUUCCAAAGGGAGUAUGUGUUAGAUGGAUCCUGCUAGCUGUGUCCUCUUGUGCUAGGACACUGUUGCUCUUUUUCCCUGCAAGGAAGCCCUGAGCCCUGCACUGACAUUUUAAAUUACUGAAAACUAGUUGUUAUUAGCUUGACUAUACCUUAAAUUAUAAGCUCUCCGGGGAAAGAACCAUCUUUUACUCUGUAUUUUUACAGAAAGCAGUGUAAGAAGGAAUUAGCAUCCAGUAAGGCAUAUUACACAAUAUGAUGAUGCAAUGUUAAGCGCACAUUGCAUUCUCCCCUGACCAGGUGUUUAACCAGACAAUCCUGGAGAUACAAGCAUUAGUCCAAUAACAACUGGAACGGCACUGGCUUCCACUAAUGGCAGAAGAUAUCCCACAAACUGCAGCUGCACCAGCUCAGUAAGUGCUUUGGAGAUCAGCCUGUGCUAGUCCCUCUUAUUCAUGGAAACAUACCUACAAUUCCCACUUGCCAGGAGUGAUGUUGAACUCUAUGGACUGAGGGAGUCAGGAAGCCAGCAAACAUUGCCAUAUAGACACCUUAUUACAGAAAAACUGAGUGAGUAAAAGCAACAAUGUCACUGGUGCCACUGUACAGAUCUCCAUGCUGAAUACAGGUCACUAGUUAUUCCAGGCAAGUUGCGUUGCAACCUUUUUCCCAUUAGUUCAUUUCUUUCACUAGAAAUACGAAAACAAAAGCCAGACACAUGCUAGUCUUGACCAUGUCAUUUAUUAGGUCAGCAGUGAUGGCAAACAGGGAAUCGUUCAGUCUUAUCACAGACAAAGCCCACCACUAAAUCACAUCGAAGUGUACACGUGGAGAGAACAUUUAUAGUGACACAUGCUCCUUCCACUUCUCUAAUGAGCUUCGUGGCCCUGCUUGAACCAUCCUGUUCUCCUCCUAGCAAUGUUCUGACUUCAUAACAGUGUGUGGCAACUCCCUGCUCUAGCUAAAGGACAUUGCUUCACUAGGCGUAAUUAGGCCUAUACAAAACAGGCUUAUUUAUGCCUUGCUAAAUCACAUGAUUGAGAUUGUGUGAAAUGCGGUGAGUCAGAGCACUUUGGAAGCCCUGCCCAGCUAUUUCCUCAUCUCAAUGAGAAUACAGUCUGUAAACUGUUCGGGCUUAUAACUAAAAAGUCAGUCAGAUGAAUAUCCUAAGUUUGCUAAAAAGGCUGGUACUUUAUUCCAAACUGCCAGAACCCUUGCAAAAUAAUUUUGGCUGUAUUUGCUGCUUACAUUAUGGCUUUUUACAAUAAUUGGUAAGUACACACUAGGUUUUUUAGCUAUAAGUUUGGUAGUACCAAUAGAAGUAUUUGGUCCUUGGAUAGAAGUUUACCCUAAUGUAAGAAAGGUCUUGUGAGAUCUAUUGCAUAAGAGUCAUCUGGAUAAGCAACUGUAGUACAAUUCUAUUUUGACCAUAAAUGACUGACAAAAAAAUAUGUCCAAGGAUAUAGAAUGUUUUUCACAAUGUUUUUCAAUAGAUGCAUAGUAAACUAAUAGUAAAUACAUCAGGAAGCUGCUUGAGGGGGAGGGGAGCAGGAAAAAAAGUACUCUUUGUAAUCUGUCAUUUAUUUUAGCUUUUACCAAAUUAGGGAGAUGUUCUGAGCAUAAAAAUCACAAAUAUUUUUGCUGUAACAGGAUUACUUAACUACAGUAGUAAAAACUGUUAAAGCUUGGCUACCUGCACAAUAAAAACAACGCAUUAAUACUUCCAACAGCUAUUUUCUGUGUGACUGUUUAGAAGGUUAAGACUAAUUAAAGAUAAUUAUUUCAUCACCUCUCUCAUCUUGGCUUAUCUAAGCUAACACAGAAGGGCAAAAAUUUAAUCAAGGCACAUAUCAUACAAAAAUCUAACACGAAUUAAUGCUCAGAGAAACUAAUACCAAAAAGAAUGUCUCAUCAUGUUUAUUCGAGGCAAGUGAAGUCUUGUUCUGAAUGGCUACUUGUUCGUCUGCUCUUUCCUGUCAAAUACUGGUCAUCCCAAGAAAUUAAAAGCCAAGAAGGCCCCAGCAGUUUGAAAGUUUUAACACGUCCUGUGAUGUCAGGCAGCCCAAAUUCAGCAGCUGCUUCUCAGGCAGUACUCACAGCAACCACAGAGAGAGGAAGACGACAAAGCAGUUACAAAGGAAGAUGCACUUGGUACAUACAUUCUUGAUGACAGAACUGUGAGUCGUUGAGAAAACGUUGGUGUAAGACAUCUAAGCCUUAUUGCAGUUUACUGCAAAUUCAGACUAUUUUGCAGAUUAAAACCAGAAAGAGAAUGCACGGGAAAGUUUCUGCCAGUUAAGAUGUCAAUGACGUACCUCUGCUUGUUGCCACAGAGCAAGCAAUCCUGCUCACAGAAUUCACAAGUUCUCAGUGACCAAGCCUGCACUAUAAAAAAAAAAAUCCUUCUAUAAUUUAAGAAAAUCAUCAGGAGAGAACACGUACCACUAGAAACAAUAGCUAGAUUAUCCCUUCAAAUUCGACUUGUAGCCUUUAAAAGAAAAGAACGGAUGGAAUAUUUUUUAAUAGAAAAUCCAUUUCAAGUUUUUCAGGAGAACCAAGCUGGAAAAUCACCAUGUAAUGGGAUAAACUACUACAAUUUCAAAGUUGGAAAUGGCCAACGUGAUUUCUCGGUGCACACUGCCAAUGAAAGCAAUUCUGCAACUCAAAGGGCGGUAUAGAUAAAGGUUAUAAUAUUGCUGUGUUCAAAUGUUAAUAAUUUACAACACAGAAACCAUGGGGCAGGGAGGAAAGUGAUGCAGAAAAGACUAGAAUAUGUAAUACAUUCCCUAUUUUUCAGAAAACUGAUAUUUCUUUUGUGUCAAAACAGAAGUCUCAGCAAAGUACUCAAAUGUCCAGCAGCAGAUUGUGAGAAAUCAUGGUCUUCCAGUCAAGCUGAGGAAAUCAGGCUGUGGGAGACUUAAAAGACUAUUAACAAGGGUUACUUCCCUUGUAAGAAUUAUUUUAAUCCCUAUUUGCUUUCUUUCAGAAACAUGCAAAAAUGGAAGCCAUUACUAAUUACAACUGUCACUCAGUCUCCAGAAACAGAACAAAUGCUUUAAAAUGACCAGAGAAGGAACUUUAGUUGCAUCAUUAUUCCCUUGAGACUGAAAAUGCUGUGAGCAAGUUACAGCUAUUUUCGAUUAAAGACCAUGUGUUAGAAACCCAUUUGAAACAAGAUCUCAUCAGAGAUGGCAAUUUUUUCUGAAAGUUCACAUUGAAAGCUAUUUACUGUCUGAGGUUUUCAAUGAACAGGAACCUGCAGCAUGAAUUGAAACUUCAACAGCUUGCCCCAGAAAAAUCACUUUUCACUUUUUACAAAGUCAUGCAAAAUGGGCACGAUGGGAAGGCUGCGUUUGGGUGCUGUGGCUGCAGAGCAGAGGGAUGGCUGGGUCAGAGGGUGGCUGCGGUAAUGGCACGCUGAAGCCACGUGCUGCAUUCAGCUUAUCAGCCCACAUUGCAGGCACUGCCUACACAUUACCAGUUUGCCAGCACUAACCUCCUGUUUCACAAUUAAAAGUUUAAAAAUAAGCUGCAAGCUAUGGAAUCUGACCAGAUCUGUUGCCCAAGGCAUCAAUAUGGUAAAUCCUUCCCUUCUUCCCAAACUCAGUAUGACCCUGGCAGCAGCACUGCAAGCUCCCCCAUAUUGCUUUGCCAAGAGAAGCCUCAGAAGCAGAGCAAGCAGCAGCAGCAUGGAAAAAGGCUAGCUCAGUGUGCAAGGCCCAUUUAUGUGAUGGCCAUCUCCGCCAAGCCUACACAAAAGGACUCAAUGCAGAUGUUCUCCUUUUAAAGGAAGGUUACCAUUUCUUUCAGAGAGUCAAAGCUGGCCAUCUAUCAAGUGGCAAGGCAAAGACAACCAAAGCAGACCCUGUACAGACAGCUUCCUCUGCAGGAGACCGCAGGCUCAAACACUGCCACCCAGGUGCGGGAUGGAGUUUCACAAGCUCGCUAAACCAACCUAAGCAAGCUGUCAGGGUGAGGAAUGACCAAGGUUUUGGCACGUGCUACCAUGCACAACUGUGUGGUCAGCCUUAACAAUCAGCUGAGCUAAAAAAAAUAUUGGAAACUUACAAAAAAGUCAUUUACAACCAGCCAAGCUGAUCUAGGUGACCUCUCAGAUCACCUACUGCUGCUGGCACUUGAGAAAGUAAAGCAAGGCAAGGGCUGCCUCUCUUGCUGGUUUGGAAGCUUGGUACAGGCCUUUCAUGAAACUAGUCCUGGUGUGCAAAGGUGUUGACAAUCUGUUGAGAUUUUAAGCCUUCACUUACCUAUGUCUGGCAAUAAUUUGCAUCGCUUGGAAAUUUCCAACUUCGUAUGGCCUCAAAGUCAGAUCUGAUUUUCUGAAAAUGUAGUUUGUGCAACAUUUCCCAGUGUCUGGAGAAAGCUGGUCACACGGCACUGGCUCUUCUUUGUCUGUUAAGUUGCAUCAGAUCAUCUAAAAAUACAUCAAAUACUUUCUAAUAUUACUUUCUGACAAUAAGCGGUUACUAUAGCUGCUGCAAGCAUGUUGCAAGAACGGGUGAGAGGUCACCUAAUUCCUAUUCAGCUAGACAUACACUGGAAAGCCUUGGAAUAUGAUUUUUUCUUUAAACUUUUGCCUUUGUUGAUACCUUAUCAAAAAUAUUGAACAACUUCUAAAGCCUCAAAUGAGCAGGUAAUCUCCUUUUACUCCAAGGAUGCAACAAAUUUAGCAUAGUUAUUAAAUCCAUCCACAACGGGGAGUUCAAAGAAGAACUAAUAUCUGAGAACCUGACAGAUACCAGCUUGCAAAGAGAAAAUUGUGCCUGAGCAAGCUGUGGUUCUGUUGUUUAGCGAGAGGGCAUUUAAUAGGACUGACAACCCCCCAAACAUUAUGUUUACCAUGUAGAAGUAGCUUUUUGUAACAUCUGUAUAGACGUAGCUCUUCUUUGAAGAGCCAUCUCCAUUUUAUAUUAAUUUACAUACUACGUACUUGUAUGAGGAAGAGCGGUGCUCCCAAAAUGAAGGCAAACCAGGGCACCGUAAGAUGUGUAAGUUUGUUUCUUCUUGCCAAAUAUACAGUGCCAAAGUCCAAAAUAAAAGCCCAGUUCCCAAUAACCCUGUUCUAGACAUGAACCCAAGCUUCCACCCAAACAUACCAGCAAGACCGACUUUAGAGUUAGUCUCUUCAUUUGCUCUGCUUGGCUAACUGAAUUCUUGUCUGGCACUGCAGCCCCCAUGUUUCUGAAUAAAUCCAUGAAGUUCUUCAGUGUCUGCAAACUGGUCUUUGAAAAGGGGGAAAAAAUAAAUAAAAAAAUUACUUGAUGGGAACACAAAUAGUUGAAUGUGAAUAACCAUUCCCUGUACUUCUGCAAUCACUUCCAUAAAGCUGCUAUGGCUGUUAUGAUGUGCUUCUGUUUCCACAUCACUUCAUUUGCUCAAUUACAAAACAUGGAUCAUUUAAUCAGUGUAAUCCUGAUCUCCAGAAUGAUCUGGCCACUUUGCUGAACAAAACACUACUGUCUUCAAAUAAUACAAUGAUGCUAAUCUUAAGGGCCAGCGGAAGAGUUCUAUAACCCAAGUUCACUUACAGUGCACGGUUUGUUAAGCCCCUGCAUGUGUCCCUACCAUCUGGAGCAGCACAGGCUGACUGCAGGGAAAAACAGGAGAAUUCCUCACUGGGAGACUCUUUAGUAGAGGCAUGAAUUCAACACUCACAUAAAGCACAGAUUUACCAUGCUGUUUUAUAACUGCCUCGGUUCUUUCCUGUAAAAAGCAAUACGCUGGUCAAUCAAUACACUGCUCUGUAAACAAAUCACUAUUAAAACCAUCAGUGCACACUUGGUGCAUAUUGAAUCCAAAACAUUAUUUGUGAAGAUGGUGGCAGAAGGGAUUUCAUGAACAACUCCUAGUUUCCGUGGAAAGGUAACAAAUAGUAGGGAAUUAACAUGUUUCAGUAGCAGUUCUGGUUUCACCCUUACCAAUUCUAUGCACUCUUCAAUUAAUCCUAGACAACUUAAAGUCUAAAGAAUUUUCAGAAGUUGAAGAAAAAUGUACUUGAACCCUAUUUCUCCAGUCUGCUGUAUAUCAAACGUUCUGUUAUCAAGUUCUUCCACCCUACCACUGCUUUUCUGCAAACUCAUUCUGUCACCAAGCACUGCACAAGGAAUCCCAGCACUCAGUACCAAGUCUCCAGCACCAAUGACUGAAUUGUUCUACUGCCAUCUGUCAUUCACACACACCUUUUCAUAGAGCAAAUGCACAAGUGUUCUACAGACUUGCUCUUCUCCCUGAGGCCAGUCAGUUCCAGGUUUCCUCUUCGUAAACUAGGGAAAUACACAGACCUAGUGGCGGUCAUAGUAGAAUACCAGUGUUUGCAGUCUUAAAAGUUUGCCAAGUUCUCGAUUCUUUCAGUCUUCUGUAAUUCAGCUUUCUCACAUACAGUCCAAGAAGUUUCAACCUAGACUCUGUUUUCCAAUACUAUUUCAAAAUUAUUACCAAGAUCUUUAGUAUGUCAGUAACUUUAUCAACAUCUUUAAUGUCAACAGCAUUGAAGUAGUGAGCAAGUUCACUACAGAAGCCAAAGAACAUUUUAAUGCACCACCUGUCCACCUUAUUGUAGGGAAUUUUUACUGUAGCAACACUCCCCCAUCACUACACUUCAUAACUCUGCAUUUCCAUCAGCAUGUACAAACACUGAGUUUACCAUGAAAAAAUAUGAAGAAAAAUAGUUUUUCCCACAAGAGCCUUAAUGGGUUAAUUUUAAUUAAAAUCAGUUUAAUGAUUGAUAAGCUCUAGUAUUUCCAGCAGCAAAUCAUAAGUGGUUGACUGUUUUCAGAUACAGUAAAAAACUGAAGAUAACGUAACUACAUAAGCUAGCAUAUUUAGUUAGUUUACUGCUUGUCAAACAUAUGAAAGAAUGACAGUUUAACAUGUAAAUUCUCAUGACAACCAAGAGCAAAAAUUAAACAAAUAUUUUGUAAGAAUCAGGAAGUUCAACUAUACAGAAGUUUACCAAACCCAAUGCUUACUCUUAAUCUCUCACAAAGUUACUUUCAACAUACUUCCUACAUCAGAAACCAACAAGCAUGAAUUUUCAGUAUCUGAUUAGUAUUUGAGAGAGAGGGGGACAUCCGAUACCGCAAACUCAGUACAGUUGCUACUUUGAAGCGCUCUUCACUCGUGCCCCUUAAGCAAAUGACAGAACACUGCAAAUACCUGUUUCCUAGUAUCCUUCAUUUGCUCUUUGAGCUUGCAAAGGAAGCAAAAGGCAAUUCACUGUGCCUGCGCACACGUUAAUGAAGAAAUCUCUUCCUUAUAAACCGAAGAAUCUGCAGCCGAUUCAAGGUUAGCCAUACAACAGACCAAAGUUCCAUUCAACACUGCAGAGAAAAUAGGAGAGUGGAUAUAUGGGAGUGUGAAAUCCUAAAGCUCUAACAGGAUCUUCCCUAAACCUGCAUGUAUCUUUGUCAUGAGCUGUCAGCAAGGAGGCCCUGCUGUUUAGAACAGCAGCUGCAUCCACCAGUUGUUCCUCAGCUACUGCUGGGUGGGAGGAUGAGACAACAUACAAAAGGGGACAUUUCCUCUUCUGUACUGCUCUUUUAUUUUGUAGCAAGAUCCAUGUAGUAUAUAAAAUAACAAAGAAAUGAACAAAGACCUAUAAAAUAAAUUGAGGAGUUCAGAUGACAAACCACUACAGCUCUGCUUUCAUGGUUUUAUGUCGUCGUCACCAGGACUCAUGUAUUGUUUACCUUGUACUUUUACAGUUUUCUAGCCUAUGAACCUACAUAAAAAGCUGAUAUGUUCCAAUUAAGCCAUAGUUAAGUGACAGAUGUAGAAGGAAAAAAUGGCUUUCUUAAGCCACAGCUGCCCUCGACACAGGUUACAAUGAUGUCUAACUACACUGUAAUGCACAUUACAUCAAGAACCUUGAAACAGCCUCUGAGAAAACAGGUUCACAUUAAGCAUUUUAAGGGAAGGUCAUAAAUACUGCACUGUACCAAUGGUACCUCCCAAUGUCCUCUUUAUGCCCGAGGAACAUUUGUGUCUUUUUAGUAAGCUACUACAUAGAUGACACCAAACCCAGAGGUAGGUUAUAGGCAAAGGUAAAAUACAGGCAAAAAAAUCCCUUUAGAGCUAGUCAUUGCACAAACUGCCCAGCAGGAGGCAAGGCAAGAUGUCAACAACUCUUUCCUCCCACCUUAAACGUUGCUCACAUGGUGCAUUUAAUUUCUAGUGACAGUGGAUCAUCAGCUGCUAGUAAAUGCAGUCAUGCCAAGGGAACAGCUUGAAGUUAUUCAAGCAAAAAUCUGUUACCGUGCAAAACUGGUUCACUGGACUAUUACCAACUAGACCUCCGAGUUUCAUAAGUGACCUGAUGGUAGAAAACUAAGGGAUCUGUUUUCCUUUUGACGUGAUAUACUCUACACAAUCAACAGGAGAACAUACAGCUAAGUGUGUGGAAGGAGUCAAAGUUGAGAAAGGAAAAAAAAUAAUCACACUUUUCUGGGACUGAGUUUUCUUUUU